Long non-coding RNA from Scophthalmus maximus (turbot), 5911 nucleotides. RefSeq lists it as uncharacterized. The transcript is spliced from 4 exons. The record is from RefSeq and is a predicted model, not a curated record. Lineage: Eukaryota; Metazoa; Chordata; Actinopteri; Pleuronectiformes; Scophthalmidae.
CUGACUAGGUGACUGGAUUGAGACCGCCUCCGUGACCUACUGAGACACCGACUGACUGAAUAACUAACCACCAACUGCAAGACAAUUAAAAUUGACCAACUGAUCUUAUUGAACCGUUUAGUCCGCACACAGUUCUCCGGACCUUUUCCAUAGUUCGCUGUUCACACAUGAAGAAUGCAGCAGGACAUUGUCUGGGUCAGACGUUCACGACCUCAGGGAAAAACAUUUGGGACGUUCAGGCAAGAGUGUGUCUUCAGCCAUCGCAGCUUCAUUUACAACCUUUGAUCAUCCACGGAGACCAUGACACGAGGAGACGGGCGAGUAGCAGCUGAGGGACGGAGGCUAAAAAACCAUCUGCUCCUCUGCUCGUCAACCACUUUUUUGAUGGUCUGGUCGGAGGAGCAUCACGCAGCUCGUGUUGGUUGGUGACCUUUAGGCCACGUUGAAAGGUCACCCAACCACGACGUCGACAGUUACCAUGACAAAACACCAAUCCAUCGGCGCCUCUGCAGGGAAACGCUGACGGAGGGAGACGAUAACAUGUUGCUACUGUGUCGUUCUAUUUUUAUUUCCGAACAAUGUCAGACCUGAUGUGAGGUUCAGGGACAGAUUCUUUCUCUAUCUAGUUUUAUUUUCUGUAUAUAUAUAUAUAUAUAUCUAUAUAUAUAUAUCUAUAUCUAUAUAUCUAUAUAUCUAUAUAUAGAUAUAUAUAUAUCUAUAUCUAAUGGCCUUUCUGUCAAAGGUUACGUUUAAACCACAGGACACAUCCCGCUCUGCUGAGUUGCUGGCUCAUAUCUGUUUUUCUGAAAAAAAUCCAUAUCCUUUCUAGAUUAUGAAACAUGAUAUCCAGAAACAAAUUAAUAUCCGUAUUCCAGUGAACAGAAGAUUUAACACAUUAUUUGCCAAUUAACACCAUGAAAAAAAACUACUUCUGAUCAUUUUCAUUGAGCAUGAGACGUCACAUUUAUUUCUCCUUCAUGUCACUGUGUGUGCCAACGUUUAGAUGAUUAUUAAUUACGCAAAAAUAGAAUUAGAUAAUUAAUUGAUCAAAAAAAGUACAUGACUAUUGUCUUGGUCAGUCUAAGUACAGGUUGCUCUCAGAUCUGUCUCAUUGAUGGACAGAUUUAUUUUCUCCAUUCACUAUCAUUGUAAAUUGAAAAUCUUUUAAUUGUUUAAAAAAAAAAAUUAGUAUCAGAACUACAAAUAUUUUAUUGAUCCUUGGGAGAAAAUUGCGUUUUAUCACAGUUGCUCCAACCAAGAAUAGAAAUACAAACUAACCUGUGUAGUUACUAAUGUAUAGUACAGUACAUGAUUACAACAGCUAAAAUAUAGGUAAAAAAAUAAGUAUAAAAAUGAAACAAAACAACAAAUUUGGGACCUUGUGAUGUGAGAUUUUAAUCGACCAAACAAUUCACGGAUUAAUAAAAAAAUAUAUAUCUAUAUCUACAGUCUGUGCUGGAAAACAUUAGACACAGUGGAUCUCAAUGCUACUUGUUCGCAGCCACAUCACACAUCAUGUGGUCUCUCCCAGCUGCUCGGUGAACAUGUGACCCUCUGGUACGGAACAGAGAACAGAGACGAGGGCCGUUAUCAUGACACUGCAGUGAGAGCGUAUGAAAAUGAUAAUCAUUAUGAACCGACGCGACAGCACUUCAAACCCUAUCUUGUCGCCAUCGGCCCCGUGUCACGUAUAGAUGCGUCUUUCAUUCUGCUCCACGUGAUUUGUAUAAUAGGAAAAUGCGCUGAGGAGCAGGAAGUGAUGUGAAGAGGCCACUGGCCCAAAAACGAAACUGCUGAGAUAAAAAAUAUGAAUUUGAAUGUUAAACAUGUUUGGUUUUUUUAUGUCUGGGUGUUUUCCGAUAUCAAAUUAUCAUCAGCAGCAGCACAGACUCUGGGAAAUGUUCACAACCGCUCAACGGCUCAAUGUGAAAAGAGGCAACCAAGGUCCGAAACCAGUCUACCGAGACUCUGACGCGAAGCAUAAACACGCUGCGAGUCCCAACGACAUCCAGCGGAACCGGAGGGAGGAGGCGCUCCGCAAUUAAUUGUGUUAAUACGUCGGACCCGGUCUCAACCGGUAAAGAACAAAGACACACAACUGACAUGAGAGAAGAGUAAAUGAGCUCACACAGCGAGCGCUAAUUGCCACAACAAAGACGCGCGCAGCGAGCGCUGGUUUAACAAUGUCCGCUGGUGAUGCGUCCGUAAGUGCUGCUAUCACUUUAGACAGCAGAGUGUGUGUGUGUGUGUGUGUGUGUGUGUGAGUGUGUGUGUGUGUGUGUGUGUGUGUGUGAGACGAAGCAUGCAGCCAUAUCCUAUAACUGCCGACGAUAAAACCCCUAAGAGGCUGACGCGGGACUCGCACAAAUCACUGGUGUCCGACGUAAAAAUAUUACAACCUGCUGCUGCAGAAACAUUUUUUGCUCUGUUCGAAAAUCGGGCCUGGCCAAAUUUUGACUCAGGCUUCCCGCUGUCAGAGACGAAGCAGCAGCACGUAAUUCAUUUUUCCGAUGACUGAGGCACGACGGCGUUGCCGGGAAAUGUGCCGUAAUAAAAACUUCCGAGGCACAGCACUGACCCACGGACGGUAAAUAAGUGAUGGACGACGACGAAAUGAUGGACCUCCUCUUCCUGCUACUGUACAAAAAAAUUCAGUAGUUAUCGUGGAUUCCAAAUAACAGUGUAAAACCAAACUUAACAGAAACAUGAAGACUGGAAAAUACCUAAACUUUCAGAAAAAUGUUGGAAGGGGGCGGGGUUUAUGAUCAAUACUGCAGCCAGCCACCAGGGGGCGAUCGUCAUGUUUUGGCUUCACUUUUUGGGAGCUAUCAAUUCGUCUUUUUAUAAUGUUCAACGUCUGGGAGGAGCUACCGGGCUGCUGAGUUUGUAUUCCUCUCCAAAAAGUUAGCCUAGCUUGCUAACAUGAGCAGAAAUGCUAACUUGAGUCCCAGCAAAAAUUUAUGAAACAUUAAUUUUUUUAUUUUUUCCUCGAGUCAAAACAGACACCAGCGAUUUAUAUUUGAUUAACUUAAUAACACUGAGAUUUUAUUUUCAGUUCCCCUUGACAACCCUUUUUUGGGAAAUGUGCUCAUUUGCAUGUGAAGUGUCACCGGUAGCGUCUGAGCUGAGCUGAAUGUGUAGCACAAUGGCUCAGUCAUGCAGUUUCUAUCGCCGCCCUGUUAAAAAACACCGCAGGAAUGUACCGCACCAUUUAAAAACUGUUUACCCAGCGACUGACACUCAGCACAACACAACACAACAACCAAGUCACUGCUGAGGAGGAAAAAAAACUUGACAGCUUGUAAGUGAAAAGGUCACGGGUUCGAAUCCCAGUGUGAAGACAAAGCUGCCGCACGAGUGAUUAUUCUCGCUUGGUCAGUUGUUGUAUUUACUAAAAGGGAAACUCCAGAAAAUUGUGAAGCCUCUAAUAUUACACAACAAAAGGACAAAAAGGAUCCACGUUACUAGGGCGGCAACUAACGAUUAUUUUCAUAAUCGAAUUAUCUGUCGAUUAUUUUCCCGAUUAAUUGAUUAGUUGUUUGGUCCAAAAAAUGUCAUAAAAAGUUGAAAAACGCAAUUGUGUUUCUAAAAACGCCAAGAUGAUGUUUUGUGCUCACACCAAAUAUAUUCAGCUUACUGUCACAGAGGAGCAAAGAAACCAGAACAUAUUCACAUUUAUGAAGAUUUUUUCCUCCAUGAAAACUACUUUUACUACUACCGAUUAAUCGAUUAUCAAAAAUAGUUGGCGUUUAAUCGAUUAACUUUUGCAGCUCUAGUUCAAUCUCUAGAUUUUAAUGCAUUCGGGCGUUGCUACCGUGUGAUUGACAGCUACCAGGGUCCAAUGGGUGCAGGCCACAGGUCUCGGUGGGCCGGCAGUGUCUCCUCGAGCUCUCAGUUACUUUUGGUUUUAAGAAAAACAAAAUGGGCGCUCGCCAAAACGCCAGUUCACAAACCAAUGACUGACGUCACGACGGGUUGUCGCCAGGUCAUAACUCCGAGGUUCACUUUCUUUGUCACGCUAUCAACACGACGCCAGAGUCAGUCUGUUGGAUGGUUCAUCUGCUGGAUGCACUUUUCGAGAGACGUUCAUGGUCCCCAGAGAACUGCAGGACGUUUUGUGACGUCCACAGAUUGACGUCGUUCAAGCAGCUAAACAGCAAAUCUCAAAGAGGUGGUCGUAAAAUUAGAAAGUUACAGGAGCUUAGAUUAGAAUUUGUGUUUUUCAAUAUCCCUGUUACAUGACCUCUGCAGCGAAGAGGUCCAGCGUGAGGCCGUGCAACAAUGGCGAGUCUGAACACACAACAGCUUCUUCUCACACACGGAGUAGAAAACGGUAUUAGCCCUGUAGACACACGGUGGCACAAUGUGACUCGGGGCUUCGCUCACGUUGUUGUUCUCCCGCCAUCGCACAAUGGACGCCACUGUAGCUCCCGAGAGCCGGGUUCGUCACGUCCUGAGGUCUGCGUCGAGUCAGCGGAAUAAACGGCAGCCGCCGAUGUAGCGACCACAUCCUGUUUUCUUUUCAGAUUAACACCGAGCCGCAGCUCAGAGUCAAGGGCUUUUUAUAUUUACUGAUGACAUGUCUUGAGAAGAUGGUGCGUGUAUUUUUUGGAAUGGUUCACAUUAGAAUUUGCGUUUGAAGAUUGGAAGAUUUCGCGAUUCCGAAACAACUCCUUAAACAAAGUGACGAGGAACAUCCCUAACCAACCUACCACCGACCACCACCCCACUCGUAGUGACUUACCCCCCCGAGUAACAUCUAUAAAUUCCUCAGUGAAAAACCCUAAAACUGAAUAAUGUUCUGAGAUUCUGAUGUGUUUUUGUAAUUUUAUGUUGCGGCUCCUCUUCUGCUAUUAUCCUGAAAGUUUCCCAGAGUAAUGUCCUACGAAUAAAUCAUGCAAAUUUACAGGAAAUGACCUUUUUUUUUUUUUUACGAGUUAUUAGCAAAAGGUCCCGAGGCGAGAUGGAAGUCAGGCCAGGUUGCAUUGCUGUCAUUGCUCCGCUCGUUGCUGUUGCCUUCUGCCGCCACAGUUGCGUUGCGGAGCAGCCGUUUGUGAAGAACGCAAAUGUCCGUGAACGUUGCCCCCGGUGUUUCUCGUAACUUCUCCUGACAGCCCCCUUAGUACAGCUUCAGCAAAAGUGAGAGCACAGGAAGCAACAUAUCCGGAAGAUUCUCGCUCUACCCAGGAGCCGGCCCUGGACCCAGAUGUUCCGACAAUGUUCCCGUUGUUGCUUAUGCGUGAACGUCAAACUCCGGAAAAUGUCCAGACACGUUUUUCAGAGUUCAUGCUUGAAAAAAAAAAACCUUCAGACUGUCGAGAUAAUCUGCAGGACUUUACUUACAAACAACUUGGAGACUGUAAAUGUUGAAAUCAAAUCAUUGCAGAUUCAAUAUGUGUUCCUUUCAAAUGUUUUAAUGAAUAAACAAAAGCUCGAGCUCUAUCUGUUGGUGUGAUAUUCGUGGUACCCGGAGGAUGAAGCCUUGUAAAACAUUUGGUGAUCUCUUUGACUUUUCAUCUAGAGGCAUCAUAAGGUCAAAAUCUCAAUUUGUCCCCGACUGGUUCAUCGACUCAACUCCACGUGAUCCCCGAUGAUUUAAACAUCAACCAGGCUGCAGCUGCGACCUCGUCGAGUGACUCCCAGUGGACUCGGCUCUACACGAACUCAGACAUGAAUAAUGGAUCCCUCCUCCCCCUCCUCCUCCUCCUCCUCCUCCUCCUCCUCCGGACCUACCAGAGAGAAGGAGGCCGACCGCCGCCGCAGCCUGGGAACCUCCACUCGUGUGGAAGUAAAACAAUCUCUGAGACGCGAACGAGGACGAGACGCUGAGACGGACACGCAACGAGAGAGAGCGAGAGAGAGAGAGAGAGAGAGAGAGAGAGAGAGAGAGAGAGGAUACUACUGUGGACGG